UACAGAGACUGCAAGCGUUGUCCGGAUUUAUUGGGCGUAAAGAGCGUGUAGGCGGCCAUACAGGUCCGUUGUGAAAACUGGAGGCUUAACCUCCAGACGUCGAUGGAAACCGUAUGGCUAGAGUCCGGAAGAGGAGAGUGGAAUUCCUGGUGUAGCGGUGAAAUGCGCAGAUAUCAGGAAGAACACCCGUGGCGAAGGCGGCUCUCUGGGACGGUACUGACGCUGAGACGCGAAAGCGUGGGGAGCGAACAGG
RNAcentral lists this ribosomal RNA (253 nucleotides) under uncultured bacterium. RNAcentral's name for it is "partial 16S ribosomal RNA". It matches the Rfam family "Bacterial small subunit ribosomal RNA", at positions 524 to 776 of the family's 1533-position model. The record is from RNAcentral.